CAAUAGCGUAUAUUAAAGUUGUUGCUGUUAAAAAGCUCGUAGUUGGAUUUCUGCCGAGGACGACCGGUCCGCCCUCUGGGUGAGUAUCUGGCUCGGCCUGGGCAUCUUCUUGGAGAACGUAGCUGCACUUGACUGUGUGGUGCGGUAUCCAGGACUUUUACUUUGAGGAAAUUAGAGUGUUUCAAGCAGGCUUACGCCUUGAAUACAUUAGCAUGGAAUAAUAAGAUAGGACCUCGGUUCUAUUUUGUUGGUUUCUAGAGCUGAGGUAAUGAUUAAUAGGGAUAGUUGGGGGCAUUCGUAUUUAACUGUCAGAGGUGAAAUUCUUGGAUUUGUUAAAGAUGGACUACUGCGAAAGCAUUUGCCAAGGAUGUUUUCAUUGA
RNAcentral lists this ribosomal RNA (380 nucleotides) under uncultured eukaryote. RNAcentral describes it as "partial 18S ribosomal RNA". It matches the Rfam family "Eukaryotic small subunit ribosomal RNA", at positions 592 to 976 of the family's 1831-position model. The record is from RNAcentral.